GGGAUGGAGCAGUCUGGUAGCUCGUCGGGCUCAUAACCCGAAGGUCGUUGGUUCAAAUCCAGCUCCCGCUACCA
Molecule: transfer RNA, 74 nt
Filed under: Acinetobacter baumannii
Lineage: Bacteria; Pseudomonadati; Pseudomonadota; Gammaproteobacteria; Moraxellales; Moraxellaceae
Description: tRNA-Met
Rfam family: tRNA
About the family: Transfer RNA (tRNA) molecules are approximately 80 nucleotides in length. Their secondary structure includes four short double-helical elements and three loops (D, anti-codon, and T loops). Further hydrogen bonds mediate the characteristic L-shaped molecular structure. tRNAs have two regions of fundamental functional importance: the anti-codon, which is responsible for specific mRNA codon recognition, and the 3' end, to which the tRNAs corresponding amino acid is attached (by aminoacyl-tRNA synthetases). tRNAs cope with the degeneracy of the genetic code in two manners: having more than one tRNA (with a specific anti-codon) for a particular amino acid; and 'wobble' base-pairing, i.e. permitting non-standard base-pairing at the 3rd anti-codon position.
Source: RNAcentral